GCGCCCGGCCGGGUCAAGUGUUUUUAAAGGGUAACCACAAAAUAACCAGAAAUGAGUUUCUAUUUUGGGGUGGGGGAGCUAGAUUUUUCUGAGUGGACAUGCCCAUGCCCCGCCCCCGCCCCCAAGCUUGACUUCUGCGAAAACUUCUACAUGGGUGGGGCAAACAUUGCCUACACUGGGGUGCAGAAGACACGGGGAGGCGCAAAAACUUCCUGAGGAGUCAAGGGUUUCCUCUGCACAAACUGCCCCAGUGGCGAAUGACCUUGAAACAUGAAAACCGUCCCUUUCUUGCAAGCCAUUACAAGGCAGUGGGAACACCCUUUCUCCCUUACAAAACUGGUCCGUGGGGAUGCAAAGAGUCCUCAGCGGUGACAGCUGUAACACCUGUUUGAGCGACUCAGUACCGGGCAGGGCGCAGCCACACAACUGAGGGACCAGGGAGGGCAGCGCGGGGCCCGGGCUUCAGCCUGGAACCCUCAUCUCCACAAGCACUGCGGCGGCAGCACCAGGCUUGCAUCUUUGAGACCGGAGCGCCAGUCAGACCCAGGGUGUUCCUUGUGUCCCGCCCCUUCUGGAUUCUCGGGCCGGCCCUGCCCCCUGCAGGCCUUCACCUGCAUCGAUCUAGCGCCGCCCCUGGAGAGUAGCUCCUGGAGGCCCUUCCCUUCCGAGAGUCCUGGGGACUCCACUUUCCCGGGGUUUCCGGCCCUGCCCCUCGGCACCGCCCUGGUCCUAUCGCUCAGCACCGUCCCCUGAGGCCGCGGCGGGCCCCACCUCCUUCCUACAACCACCCGGCUCCUCCGAGGCCGCACCCCUCCAUGCUCCCCAAGACCCGCAGGCUCCCGUCCUCGGCCGCCUCUGGACCCACCUCCUCCCACCGCCGGGCCCCGCCCCUCUCCCGCGCGCGGCUCCCGCCGCGCAGUCUCCAGGCUGGGGACGGCCGGACCCACCCGCGGGGCCUAGGAGCGGUCCUUCUGCGCGACCUCGGCCCAGAAGGACACGGCCAGGAGGCAGCCCUCUGUAAGCUGCGAAGAGAGCCCUUUCCGGGAACCAGAUCAGCCAGCAUCUUGACUGAGGACUUCCCAGCCUCCCGAACUUUUCUUCCCCCAUGAUGCAACCCACUGAACACACAGGAAACAUCUGGCUUCGUGUGAGCUGGGGCAUGAGGAAUCGAUACAAGGUAUAGCUCUGGCUGCUGAUUUUUGUGGUAAUCAGUGAUCCAU
Long non-coding RNA from Cercocebus atys (sooty mangabey), 1220 nucleotides. RefSeq lists it as uncharacterized. Lineage: Eukaryota; Metazoa; Chordata; Mammalia; Primates; Cercopithecidae. The transcript is spliced from 3 exons. The record is from RefSeq and is a predicted model, not a curated record.